RNAcentral lists this ribosomal RNA (501 nucleotides) under uncultured bacterium. RNAcentral's name for it is "partial 16S ribosomal RNA". It matches the Rfam family "Bacterial small subunit ribosomal RNA", at positions 30 to 523 of the family's 1533-position model. The record is from RNAcentral.
AUUGAACGCUGGCGGCAGGCUUAACACAUGCAAGUCGAGCGGGGGAAGAUAGCUUGCUACCGGACCUAGCGGCGGACGGGUGAGUAAUGCUUAGGAAUCUGCCUAUUAGUGGGGGACAACAUCUCGAAAGGGAUGCUAAUACCGCAUACGUCCUACGGGAGAAAGCAGGGGAUCUUCGGACCUUGCGCUAAUAGAUGAGCCUAAGUCGGAUUAGCUAGUUGGUGGGGUAAAGGCCUACCAAGGCGACGAACUGUAGCGGGUUUGAGAGGAUGGUCCCCCAAACCGGGACUGAGACACGGCCCAGACUCCUACGGGAGGCAGCAGUGGGGACUAUUGGACAAGUGGGGGAACACUGAUCCAGCCAUGCCGCGUGUGUGAAGAAGGCCUUAUGGUUGUAAAGCACUUUAAGCGAGGAGGAGGCUACUUUAGUUAAUACCUAGAGAUAGUGGACGUUACUCGCAGAAUAAGCACCGGCUAACUCUGUGCCAGCCGCCGCCGUAA